CCUACGGGAGGCAGCAGUGGGGAAUUUUGCGCAAUGGGCGAAACCCUGACGCAGCAACGCCGCGUGAGUGAUGAAGGCUUUCGGGUCGUAAAGCUCUGUCAGAGGGGAAGAAAUGGGUCUGGCUAAUAUCCAGAUUCCUUGACGGUACCCUCAAAGGAAGCACCGGCUAACUCCGUGCCAGCAGCCGCGGUAAU
Molecule: ribosomal RNA, 194 nt
Filed under: uncultured Geobacter sp.
Lineage: Bacteria; Pseudomonadati; Thermodesulfobacteriota; Desulfuromonadia; Geobacterales; Geobacteraceae
Description: partial 16S ribosomal RNA
Rfam family: Bacterial small subunit ribosomal RNA
Source: RNAcentral